RNAcentral lists this ribosomal RNA (1094 nucleotides) under Salmonella enterica subsp. enterica serovar Derby. Its description in RNAcentral is "bacterial LSU rRNA". It matches the Rfam family "Bacterial large subunit ribosomal RNA", at positions 1042 to 2039 of the family's 2925-position model. The record is from RNAcentral. Lineage: Bacteria; Pseudomonadati; Pseudomonadota; Gammaproteobacteria; Enterobacterales; Enterobacteriaceae.
AGGUCCCAAAGUCAUGGUUAAGUGGGAAACGAUGUGGGAAGGCCCAGACAGCCAGGAUGUUGGCUUAGAAGCAGCCAUCAUUUAAAGAAAGCGUAAUAGCUCACUGGUCGAGUCGGCCUGCGCGGAAGAUGUAACGGGGCUAAACCAUGCACCGAAGCUGCGGCAGCGAACGUAUCACUUAAAGCGAUUCAGCGGGUUACGAUUGACGGAGCGAAGCGACGUCAAAGCGUAUACAAAGUCGAGUCGGUUUAAGGAUACGUUCGUUGGGUAGGGGAGCGUUCUGUAAGCCUGUGAAGGUGUGUCGUGAGGCAUGCUGGAGGUAUCAGAAGUGCGAAUGCUGACAUAAGUAACGAUAAAGCGGGUGAAAAGCCCGCUCGCCGGAAGACCAAGGGUUCCUGUCCAACGUUAAUCGGGGCAGGGUGAGUCGACCCCUAAGGCGAGGCCGAAAGGCGUAGUCGAUGGGAAACGGGUUAAUAUUCCCGUACUUGGUGUUACUGCGAAGGGGGGACGGAGAAGGCUAUGUUGGCCGGGCGACGGUUGUCCCGGUUUAAGCGUGUAGGCUGGUUUUCCAGGCAAAUCCGGAAAAUCAAGGCUGAGGCGUGAUGACGAGGCACUACGGUGCUGAAGCAACAAAUGCCCUGCUUCCAGGAAAAGCCUCUAAGCAUCAGGUAACAUCAAAUCGUACCCCAAACCGACACAGGUGGUCAGGUAGAGAAUACCAAGGCGCUUGAGAGAACUCGGGUGAAGGAACUAGGCAAAAUGGUGCCGUAACUUCGGGAGAAGGCACGCUGACACGUAGGUGAAGUGAUUUACUCAUGGAGCUGAAGUCAGUCGAAGAUACCAGCUGGCUGCAACUGUUUAUUAAAAACACAGCACUGUGCAAACACGAAAGUGGACGUAUACGGUGUGACGCCUGCCCGGUGCCGGAAGGUUAAUUGAUGGGGUCAGCGCAAGCGAAGCUCCUGAUCGAAGCCCCGGUAAACGGCGGCCGUAACUAUAACGGUCCUAAGGUAGCGAAAUUCCUUGUCGGGUAAGUUCCGACCUGCACGAAUGGCGUAAUGAUGGCCAGGCUGUCUCCACCCGAGACUCAGUGA